Molecule: ribosomal RNA, 255 nt
Filed under: uncultured bacterium
Lineage: Bacteria
Description: partial 16S ribosomal RNA
Rfam family: Bacterial small subunit ribosomal RNA
Source: RNAcentral
UACGGGGGGGGUAAGCGUUGUUCGGAAUUACUGGGCGUAAAGGGCUCGUAGGCGGCCAACUAAGUCAGACGUGAAAUCCCUCGGCUUAACCGGGGAACUGCGUCUGAUACUGGAUGGCUUGAGUUUGGGAGAGGGAUGCGGAAUUCCAGGUGUAGCGGUGAAAUGCGUAGAUAUCUGGAGGAACACCGGUGGCGAAGGCGGCAUCCUGGACCAACACUGACGCUGAGUGAGCGAAAGCCAGGGGAGCAAAACGGG